UGCAGUCGAACGGUAACAGGAAGCAGCUUGCUGCUUCGCUGACGAGUGGCGGACGGGUGAGUAAUGUCUGGGAAACUGCCUGAUGGAGGGGGAUAACUACUGGAAACGGUAGCUAAUACCGCAUAACGUCGCAAGACCAAAGAGGGGGACCUUCGGGCCUCUUGCCAUCGGAUGUGCCCAGAUGGGAUUAGCUAGUAGGUGGGGUAACGGCUCACCUAGGCGACGAUCCCUAGCUGGUCUGAGAGGAUGACCAGCCACACUGGAACUGAGACACGGUCCAGACUCCUACGGGAGGCAGCAGUGGGGAAUAUUGCACAAUGGGCGCAAGCCUGAUGCAGCCAUGCCGCGUGUAUGAAGAAGGCCUUCGGGUUGUAAAGUACUUUCAGCGGGGAGGAAGGYGUUGAGGUUAAUAACCUCAGCGAUUGACGUUACCCGCAGAAGAAGCACCGGCUAACUCCGUGCCAGCAGCCGCGGUAAUACGGAGGGUGCAAGCGUUAAUCGGAAUUACUGGGCGUAAAGCGCACGCAGGCGGUCUGUCAAGUCGGAUGUGAAAUCCCCGGGCUCAACCUGGGAACUGCAUUCGAAACUGGCAGGCUAGAGUCUUGUAGAGGGGGGUAGAAUUCCAGGUGUAGCGGUGAAAUGCGUAGAGAUCUGGAGGAAUACCGGUGGCGAAGGCGGCCCCCUGGACAAAGACUGACGCUCAGGUGCGAAAGCGUGGGGAGCAAACAGGAUUAGAUA
Molecule: ribosomal RNA, 738 nt
Filed under: Enterobacter hormaechei
Lineage: Bacteria; Pseudomonadati; Pseudomonadota; Gammaproteobacteria; Enterobacterales; Enterobacteriaceae
Description: bacterial SSU rRNA
Rfam family: Bacterial small subunit ribosomal RNA
Source: RNAcentral